This 89-nucleotide non-coding RNA is filed under the name unclassified sequences. The record is from RNAcentral.
AAACGACUGCCACCGGGUAGUGAAGCCUACAGCAUUCGCCGUAUAUCGUUAGGUCUUAGAAGAUAUACGCAGCGAAUGCUGUUUUUUGU